UUAAGCGACUAAGCGUACACGGUGGAUGCCCUGGCAGUCAGAGGCGAUGAAGGACGUGCUAAUCUGCGAUAAGCGUCGGUGAGGUGAUAUGAACCGUUAUAACCGGCGAUUUCCGAAUGGGGAAACCCAGUGUGUUUCGACACACUAUCAUUAACUGAAUCUAUAGGUUAAUGAGGCGAACCGGGGGAACUGAAACAUCUAAGUACCCCGAGGAAAAGAAAUCAACCGAGAUUCCCCCAGUAGCGGCGAGCGAACGGGGAGCAGCCCAGAGCCUGAAUCAGUGUGUGUGUUAGUGGAAGCGUCUGGAAAGGCGCGCGAUACAGGGUGACAGCCCCGUACACAAAAAUGCACAUGCUGUGAGCUCGAUGAGUAGGGCGGGACACGUGGUAUCCUGUCUGAAUAUGGGGGGACCAUCCUCCAAGGCUAAAUACUCCUGACUGACCGAUAGUGAACCAGUACCGUGAGGGAAAGGCGAAAAGAACCCCGGCGAGGGGAGUGAAAAAGAACCUGAAACCGUGUACGUACAAGCAGUGGGAGCCUCUUUUAUGGGGUGACUGCGUACCUUUUGUAUAAUGGGUCAGCGACUUAUAUUCUGUAGCAAGGUUAACCGAAUAGGGGAGCCGAAGGGAAACCGAGUCUUAACUGGGCGUUAAGUUGCAGGGUAUAGACCCGAAACCCGGUGAUCUAGCCAUGGGCAGGUUGAAGGUUGGGUAACACUAACUGGAGGACCGAACCGACUAAUGUUGAAAAAUUAGCGGAUGACUUGUGGCUGGGGGUGAAAGGCCAAUCAAACCGGGAGAUAGCUGGUUCUCCCCGAAAGCUAUUUAGGUAGCGCCUCGUGAAUUCAUCUCCGGGGGUAGAGCACUGUUUCGGCAAGGGGGUCAUCCCGACUUACCAACCCGAUGCAAACUGCGAAUACCGGAGAAUGUUAUCACGGGAGACACACGGCGGGUGCUAACGUCCGUCGUGAAGAGGGAAACAACCCAGACCGCCAGCUAAGGUCCCAAAGUCAUGGUUAAGUGGGAAACGAUGUGGGAAGGCCCAGACAGCCAGGAUGUUGGCUUAGAAGCAGCCAUCAUUUAAAGAAAGCGUAAUAGCUCACUGGUCGAGUCGGCCUGCGCGGAAGAUGUAACGGGGCUAAACCAUGCACCGAAGCUGCGGCAGCGACACUAUGUGUUGUUGGGUAGGGGAGCGUUCUGUAAGCCUGUGAAGGUGUACUGUGAGGUAUGCUGGAGGUAUCAGAAGUGCGAAUGCUGACAUAAGUAACGAUAAAGCGGGUGAAAAGCCCGCUCGCCGGAAGACCAAGGGUUCCUGUCCAACGUUAAUCGGGGCAGGGUGAGUCGACCCCUAAGGCGAGGCCGAAAGGCGUAGUCGAUGGGAAACAGGUUAAUAUUCCUGUACUUGGUGUUACUGCGAAGGGGGGACGGAGAAGGCUAUGUUGGCCGGGCGACGGUUGUCCCGGUUUAAGCGUGUAGGCUGGUUUUCCAGGCAAAUCCGGAAAAUCAAGGCUGAGGCGUGAUGACGAGGCACUACGGUGCUGAAGCAACAAAUGCCCUGCUUCCAGGAAAAGCCUCUAAGCAUCAGGUAACAUCAAAUCGUACCCCAAACCGACACAGGUGGUCAGGUAGAGAAUACCAAGGCGCUUGAGAGAACUCGGGUGAAGGAACUAGGCAAAAUGGUGCCGUAACUUCGGGAGAAGGCACGCUGAUAUGUAGGUGAAGCGACUUGCUCGUGGAGCUGAAAUCAGUCGAAGAUACCAGCUGGCUGCAACUGUUUAUUAAAAACACAGCACUGUGCAAACACGAAAGUGGACGUAUACGGUGUGACGCCUGCCCGGUGCCGGAAGGUUAAUUGAUGGGGUUAGCGGUAACGCGAAGCUCUUGAUCGAAGCCCCGGUAAACGGCGGCCGUAACUAUAACGGUCCUAAGGUAGCGAAAUUCCUUGUCGGGUAAGUUCCGACCUGCACGAAUGGCGUAAUGAUGGCCAGGCUGUCUCCACCCGAGACUCAGUGAAAUUGAACUCGCUGUGAAGAUGCAGUGUACCCGCGGCAAGACGGAAAGACCCCGUGAACCUUUACUAUAGCUUGACACUGAACAUUGAGCCUUGAUGUGUAGGAUAGGUGGGAGGCUUUGAAGUGUGGACGCCAGUCUGCAUGGAGCCGGCCUUGAAAUACCACCCUUUAAUGUUUGAUGUUCUAACGUUGGCCCCUGAUCGGGGUUGCGGACAGUGUCUGGUGGGUAGUUUGACUGGGGCGGUCUCCUCCUAAAGAGUAACGGAGGAGCACGAAGGUUGGCUAAUCCUGGUCGGACAUCAGGAGGUUAGUGCAAUGGCAUAAGCCAGCUUGACUGCGAGCGUGACGGCGCGAGCAGGUGCGAAAGCAGGUCAUAGUGAUCCGGUGGUUCUGAAUGGAAGGGCCAUCGCUCAACGGAUAAAAGGUACUCCGGGGAUAACAGGCUGAUACCGCCCAAGAGUUCAUAUCGACGGCGGUGUUUGGCACCUCGAUGUCGGCUCAUCACAUCCUGGGGCUGAAGUAGGUCCCAAGGGUAUGGCUGUUCGCCAUUUAAAGUGGUACGCGAGCUGGGUUUAGAACGUCGUGAGACAGUUCGGUCCCUAUCUGCCGUGGGCGCUGGAGAACUGAGGGGGGCUGCUCCUAGUACGAGAGGACCGGAGUGGACGCAUCACUGGUGUUCGGGUUGUCAUGCCAAUGGCACUGCCCGGUAGCUAAAUGCGGAAGAGAUAAGUGCUGAAAGCAUCUAAGCACGAAACUUGCCCCGAGAUGAGUUCUCCCUGAGACUUAGAGUCUCCUGAAGGAACGUUGAAGACGACGACGUUGAUAGGCCGGGUGUGUAAGCGCAGCGAUGCGUUGAGCUAACCGGUACUAAUGAACCGUGAGGCUUAACCUU
Molecule: ribosomal RNA, 2903 nt
Filed under: Escherichia coli KTE70
Lineage: Bacteria; Pseudomonadati; Pseudomonadota; Gammaproteobacteria; Enterobacterales; Enterobacteriaceae
Description: bacterial LSU rRNA
Rfam family: Bacterial large subunit ribosomal RNA
Source: RNAcentral